This 1380-nucleotide long non-coding RNA is filed under the name Coturnix japonica (Japanese quail). RNAcentral describes it as "lncRNA (ENSCJPG00005000984.1)". Lineage: Eukaryota; Metazoa; Chordata; Aves; Galliformes; Phasianidae. The record is from RNAcentral.
AUGUAUGGGAUAUAUGGGGUUAUAUGGGAUGUUAUGUGGGAUGUUAUGUGGGAUAUAGGGGAUGUAUGGGGUUAUAUGGGAUGUUAUAUGGGAUAUAUGGGGUUAUAUGGGAUAUAUGGGGUUAUAUGGGGUGUUAUAUGGGAUAUAGGGGAUAUAUGGGAUGUUAUAUGGGAUAUAGGGGAUGUAUGGGAUAUAUGGGGUUAUAUGGGAUGUUAUAUGGGAUAUAGGGGGUGUAUGGGGUUAUAUGGAGUUAUAUGGGAUAUAGGGGAUGUAUGGGAUAUAUGGGAUGUUAUAGGGGAUAUAUGGGGUUAUAUGGGAUAUAUGGGGUUAUAUGGGGUUAUAUGGGGUGUUAUAUGGGAUAUAGGGAAUGUAUGGGGUUAUAUGGGAUGUUAUAUGGGAUAUAUGGGAUAUAUGGGGUUAUAUGGGGUUAUAUGGGAUAUAUGGGAUGUUAUAUGGGAUAUAGGGGAUGUAUGGGGUUAUAUGGGAUGUUAUAUGGGAUAUAUGGGGUUAUAUGGGAUAUGGGGGGGUAUAUGGGAUAUAUGGGGUUAUAUGGGAUGUUAUAUGGGAUAUAUGGGGUUAUAUGGAAUAUAUGGGAUAUAUGGGAUAUAUGGGGUUAUAUGGGAUAUAUGGGGUUAUAUGGGGUUAUGUGGGAUAUAUGGGGUUAUAUGGGAUAUAUGGGGUGUUAUAUGGGAUAUAUGGGGUGUUAUAUGGGAUAUAUGGGGUUAUAUGGGAUAUAUGGGGGGUUAUAUGGGAUAUAUGGGGGGUUAUAUGGGAUAUAUGGAGUUAUAUGGGGGACUAUAUGGGAUAUGUGGGGUUAUAUGGGGUUAUAUGGGAUGUAUGGGGUUAUAUGGGAUAUAUGGGAUAUACGGGGUUAUAUGGGGUUAUAUGGGAUAUAGGGGGUUAUAUGGGGUUAUAUGGGGUUGUAUGGGGUUACAUGGGAUAUAUGGGGUGUUAUAUGGGAUAUAUGAGGUUAUAUGGGGGGUUAUAUGGCGGUUUAUAUGGGAUAUAAGGGGUUAUAUGAGGAGUUAUAUGGGAUAUAAGGGGUUACAUGGGAUAUAUGGGGUUAUAAGGGGGGUUAUAUGGGUUAUNNNNNNNNNNNNNNNNNNNNNNNNNUAUGGGGUCUAUGGGGUCUCUAUGGGGUCUAUGGGGGGGGAUAUGGGGUCUAUGGGGUCUCUAUGGGGUCUAUGGGGGGGGAUAUGGGGUCUAUGGGGUUUCUAUGGGGUCUAUGGGGUUUAUAGGGUCUCUAUGGGGUCUCUAUGGGGUCUAUGGGGUUUCUAUGGGUCUCUAUGGGUCCCUAUGGGUCUCUAUGGGGUCUCUAUGGGGUCUAUGGGAGGAUAUGGGGUCCCUAUUAAGAUCUAUGGGGGUAUAUGGGGUCUAUAG